CUACUGGAAACGGUAGCUAAUACCGCAUAACGUCGCAAGACCAAAGAGGGGGACCUUCGGGCCUCUUGCCAUCAGAUGUGCCCAGAUGGGAUUAGCUAGUAGGUGGGGUAACGGCUCACCUAGGCGACGAUCCCUAGCUGGUCUGAGAGGAUGACCAGCCACACUGGAACUGAGACACGGUCCAGACUCCUACGGGAGGCAGCAGUGGGGAAUAUUGCACAAUGGGCGCAAGCCUGAUGCAGCCAUGCCGCGUGUAUGAAGAAGGCCUUCGGGUUGUAAAGUACUUUCAGCGGGGAGGAAGGCGUUGAGGUUAAUAACCUCAGCGAUUGACGUUACCCGCAGAAGAAGCACCGGCUAACUCCGUGCCAGCAGCCGCGGUAAUACGGAGGGUGCAAGCGUUAAUCGGAAUUACUGGGCGUAAAGCGCACGCAGGCGGUCUGUCAAGUCGGAUGUGAAAUCCCCGGGCUCAACCUGGGAACUGCAUUCGAAACUGGCAGGCUAGAGUCUUGUAGAGGGGGGUAGAAUUCCAGGUGUAGCGGUGAAAUGCGUAGAGAUCUGGAGGAAUACCGGUGGCGAACGCGGCCCCCUGGACAAAGACUGACGCUCAGGUGCGAAAGCGUGGGGAGCAAACAGGAUUAUAUACCCUGGUAGUCCACGCCGUACACGAUGUCGACUUGGAGGUUGUGCCCUUGAGGCGUGGCUUCCGGAGCUAACGCGUUAAGUCGACCGCCUGGGGAGUACGGCCGCAAGGUUAAAACUCAAAUGAAUUGACGGGGGCCCGCACAAGCGGUGGAGCAUGUGGUUUAAUUCGAUGCAACGCGAAGAACCUUACCUACUCUUGACAUCCAGAGAACUUAGCAGAGAUGCUUUGGUGCCUUCGGGAACUCUGAGACAGGUGCUGCAUGGCUGUCGUCAGCUCGUGUUGUGAAAUGUUGGGUUAAGUCCCGCAACGAGCGCAACCCUUAUCCUUUGUUGCCAGCGGUCCGGCCGGGAACUCAAAGGAGACUGCCAGUGAUAAACUGGAGGAAGGUGGGGAUGACGUCAAGUCAUCAUGGCCCUUACGAGUAGGGCUACACACGUGCUACAAUGGCGCAUACAAAGAGAAGCGACCUCGCGAGAGCAAGCGGACCUCAUAAAGUGCGUCGUAGUCCGGAUUGGAGUCUGCAACUCGACUCCAUGAAGUCGGAAUCGCUAGUAAUCGUAGAUCAGAAUGCUACGGUGAA
Molecule: ribosomal RNA, 1223 nt
Filed under: Enterobacter sp.
Lineage: Bacteria; Pseudomonadati; Pseudomonadota; Gammaproteobacteria; Enterobacterales; Enterobacteriaceae
Description: bacterial SSU rRNA
Rfam family: Bacterial small subunit ribosomal RNA
Source: RNAcentral